Molecule: ribosomal RNA, 263 nt
Filed under: uncultured Staphylococcus sp.
Lineage: Bacteria; Bacillati; Bacillota; Bacilli; Caryophanales; Staphylococcaceae
Description: partial 16S ribosomal RNA
Rfam family: Bacterial small subunit ribosomal RNA
Source: RNAcentral
CGGACGGGUGAGUAACACGUGGAUAACCUACCUAUAAGACUGGGAUAACUUCGGGAAACCGGAGCUAAUACCGGAUAAUAUAUUGAACCGCAUGGUUCAAUAGUGAAAGACGGUUUUGCUGUCACUUAUAGAUGGAUCCGCGUCGCAUUAGCUAGUUGGUAAGGUAACGGCUUACCAAGGCAACGAUGCGUAGCCGACCUGAGAGGGUGAUCGGCCACACUGGAACUGAGACACGGUCCAGACUCCUACGGGAGGCAGCAGCG